This 549-nucleotide ribosomal RNA is filed under the name uncultured bacterium. RNAcentral describes it as "bacterial SSU rRNA". It matches the Rfam family "Bacterial small subunit ribosomal RNA", at positions 355 to 896 of the family's 1533-position model. The record is from RNAcentral.
UCGAGGAUCUUGGACAAUGCGCGAAAGCGUGAUCCAGCGACGUCGCGUGCAGGAUGAAGGCCUUCGGGUUGUAAACUGCUGUCGUGAGGGAACAAUAGCCUGCGUGUGAACAAUGCGCGGGAAUGAUAGUACCUCAGGAGGAAGCCACGGCUAACUCUGUGCCAGCAGCCGCGGUAAUACAGAGGUGGCGAGCGUUACUCGGAAUUACUGGGCGUAAAGGGUGUGUAGGUGGUUGAGUAAGUCAGGGAUGAAAUUCCGGAGCUCAACUUCGGAAUUGUCUUUGAGACUGCUCGGCUUGAGGAUAGUGGAGGAGAAUGGAAUUCCCGGUGGAGCGGUGAAAUGCGUAGAUAUCGGGAGGAACACCCGAGGCGUAAGCGAUUCUCUAAGCUAUUCCUGACGCUGAAACACGAAAGCUAGGGGAGCGAACGGGAUUAGAUACCCCGGUAGUCCUAGCCUUAAACGAUGGACACUAGAUAUUCCUGCGUUUAUGUAGGAGUGUCGAAGCUAACGCGCUAAGUGUCCCGCCUGGGGAGUACGGUCGCAAGGCUG